Molecule: ribosomal RNA, 250 nt
Filed under: uncultured prokaryote
Description: partial 16S ribosomal RNA
Rfam family: Bacterial small subunit ribosomal RNA
Source: RNAcentral
UACGUAGGGAGCAAGCGUUAUCCGGAUUUACUGGGUGUAACGGGUGCGUAGGCGGCUAAUUAAGUCAGAUGUGAAAUGUAGAGGCUCAACCUCUGAACUGCAUUUGAAACUAAUUGGCUUGAGUGAAGUAGAGGCAGGCGGAAUUCCCUGUGUAGCGGUGAAAUGCGUAGAGAUAGGGAGGAACACCAGUGGCGAAGGCGGCCUGCUGGGCUUUAACUGACGCUGAGGCACGAAAGCGUGGGUAGCAAAC